Molecule: ribosomal RNA, 417 nt
Filed under: bacterium enrichment culture clone ALO1_GLFRUDD03F8SIR
Lineage: Bacteria
Description: bacterial SSU rRNA
Rfam family: Bacterial small subunit ribosomal RNA
Source: RNAcentral
GAGUUUGAUCGUGGCUCAGAUUGAACGCUGGCGGCAUGCCUUACACAUGCAAGUCGAACGGCAGCACGGGAGCUUGCUCCUGGUGGCGAGUGGCGAACGGGUGAGUAAUGCAUCGGAACGUAUCCUGGAGUGGGGGAUAACGUAGCGAAAGUUACGCUAAUACCGCAUAUUCUGUGAGCAGGAAAGCGGGGGACCUUCGGGCCUCGCGCUCUUGGAGCGGCCGAUGUCGGAUUAGCUAGUUGGUGAGGUAAGGGCUCACCAAGGCGACGAUCCGUAGCAGGUCUGAGAGGAUGAUCUGCCACACUGGAACUGAGACACGGUCCAGACUCCUACGGGAGGCAGCAGUGGGAAUUUUGGACAAUGGGGGCAACCCUGAUCCAGCCAUGCCGCGUGAGUGAAGAAGGCCUCGGUUGUAAG